Molecule: ribosomal RNA, 266 nt
Filed under: Alternaria sp.
Lineage: Eukaryota; Fungi; Ascomycota; Dothideomycetes; Pleosporales; Pleosporaceae
Description: 5.8S ribosomal RNA
Rfam family: 5.8S ribosomal RNA (bases 34-187)
About the family: 5.8S ribosomal RNA (5.8S rRNA) is a component of the large subunit of the eukaryotic ribosome.
Source: RNAcentral
GCAAUCAGCGUCAGUAACAACGUAAUUAAUUACAACUUUCAACAACGGAUCUCUUGGUUCUGGCAUCGAUGAAGAACGCAGCGAAAUGCGAUACGUAGUGUGAAUUGCAGAAUUCAGUGAAUCAUCGAAUCUUUGAACGCACAUUGCGCCCUUUGGUAUUCCAAGGGGCAUGCCUGUUCGAGCGUCAUUUGUACCCUCAAGCUUUGCUUGGUGUUGGGCGUCUUUUGUCUCCAGUUCGCUGGAGACUCGCCUUAAAGUCAUUGGCA